Molecule: transfer RNA, 72 nt
Filed under: Bos taurus (domestic cattle)
Lineage: Eukaryota; Metazoa; Chordata; Mammalia; Artiodactyla; Bovidae
Also listed under: 3 other names
Rfam family: tRNA
About the family: Transfer RNA (tRNA) molecules are approximately 80 nucleotides in length. Their secondary structure includes four short double-helical elements and three loops (D, anti-codon, and T loops). Further hydrogen bonds mediate the characteristic L-shaped molecular structure. tRNAs have two regions of fundamental functional importance: the anti-codon, which is responsible for specific mRNA codon recognition, and the 3' end, to which the tRNAs corresponding amino acid is attached (by aminoacyl-tRNA synthetases). tRNAs cope with the degeneracy of the genetic code in two manners: having more than one tRNA (with a specific anti-codon) for a particular amino acid; and 'wobble' base-pairing, i.e. permitting non-standard base-pairing at the 3rd anti-codon position.
Source: Rfam by way of RNAcentral
UCCCUGAUAGCUCAGCUGGUAAAGAAUCUGCCUGGAAUGCAGGAGACCUGGGUUCAAUCCCUGGGUUGGGAA